This 422-nucleotide ribosomal RNA is filed under the name uncultured Mucilaginibacter sp. RNAcentral's name for it is "bacterial SSU rRNA". It matches the Rfam family "Bacterial small subunit ribosomal RNA", at positions 355 to 774 of the family's 1533-position model. The record is from RNAcentral. Lineage: Bacteria; Pseudomonadati; Bacteroidota; Sphingobacteriia; Sphingobacteriales; Sphingobacteriaceae.
UAAGGAAUAUUGGUCAAUGGGCGGAAGCCUGAACCAGCCAUGCCGCGUGCAGGAAGACGGCCCUACGGGUUGUAAACUGCUUUUGUACCGGAAUAAACCCCCAUUCGUGAAUGGGGCUGAAUGUACGGUAAGAAUAAGGAUCGGCUAACUCCGUGCCAGCAGCCGCGGUAAUACGGAGGAUCCGAGCGUUAUCCGGAUUUAUUGGGUUUAAAGGGUGCGUAGGCGGCCUGUUAAGUCAGGGGUGAAAGACGGUAGCUCAACUAUCGCAGUGCCCUUGAUACUGAUGGGCUUGAAUGUACUAGAGGUAGGCGGAAUGUGACAAGUAGCGGUGAAAUGCAUAGAUAUGUCACAGAACACCAAUUGCGAAGGCAGCUUACUAUGGUAUUAUUGACGCUGAGGCACGAAAGCGUGGGGAUCAAACA